UGGGGGUAAGCGAUGAAAAUGAGGGUGGAUGUAUCACCAAUUUUCUCAUAUAAAAAUCCCACAAAUAUCCGUUCUGAGCAAAAGCAGCAGCCGUUCACUGACUGUUUCCUGCCUUAAAAAAAGAGAGCCUUGAAGAUGGCAUCUGUUCACUCAGGAUUAUCUUCUGUGGUGAAGAGCAACCUUGCUGUCUCAAAAUUGCCAAAUUCUGCUUUUUUGCCUGGCUUUGAAAAUAGACGUGCCUUGAAUGUUUUGGUCAAGGAGGCCUACUUCAGUGCGAGGAAUUCUAGGUCUACAGCGACAUUAACCUUUGAUCCCUUGGCCAAUUUAGCAAAAUCCAAGCAAAGGAAACAUACUGUUGAUCCUGCAGCUCCAGAUUUUCUUCCCCUUCCUGCUUUUGAAGAAUGCUUCCCCAAGAGUACCAAGGAGUACAGGGAUGCCAUUCAUGAGCAUUCAGGCCAUGUGCUUAAGGUUCCAUUUCGCAGGAUCCAUCUGUCUGGGGAGGAGCAAUACUUUGACACGUAUGAUACUAGUGGCCCGCAAAAUGUCAGCCCACGUGUGGGUCUUCCCAAGAUAAGGAAAGACUGGAUUGCCAGACGCGAGCAGUCGGGUGCACCCAGGUACACUCAAAUGUACUAUGCAAAGCAAGGAAUUAUAACUGAAGAAAUGUUGUUCUGUGCUGUUCGUGAGAAGCUUGAGCCAGAGUUUGUGAGGUCAGAGGUCGCCCGUGGACGAGCAAUUAUCCCUUCCAACAAAAAGCACUUGGAAUUAGAACCAAUGCUGGUUGGGAGAAACUUCCUUGUCAAAGUUAAUGCAAAUAUUGGAAAUUCAGCUGUUGUGAGCUCUAUAGAGGAAGAGGUGCAUAAGCUUCAGUGGGCAACAAUGUGGGGUGCAGAUACUGUCAUGGAUCUUUCAACAGGGCGCCAUAUCCAUGAAACGCGUGAAUGGAUCCUUCGUAACUCAUCUGUACCAGUAGGGACUGUACCAAUCUACCAAGCUUUGGAGAAAGUGAAUGGCAUUGCUGAGGACCUAAACUGGGAGGUCUUCAGAGAUACUCUAAUCGAACAAGCUGAGCAGGGUGUGGAUUAUUUUACUAUUCAUGCUGGUGUCCUUCUUCGAUACAUUCCUCUUACAGCUAAAAGAAUGACUGGAAUUGUCUCACGUGGAGGAUCUAUUCAUGCAAAAUGGUGCCUAGCUUAUCACAAGGAAAAUUUUGCGUAUGAGCACUGGGAUGAGAUCCUUGACAUAUGCAACCAGUAUGAUGUGGCACUAUCCAUUGGCGAUGGAUUGAGACCAGGUUCAAUUUAUGAUGCCAAUGACACUGCUCAGUUUGCAGAACUUUUGACACAGGGAGAACUGACCCGCCGAGCUUGGGAAAAGGACGUCCAGGUAAUGAAUGAAGGACCAGGACAUAUUCCUAUGCACAAAAUUCCAGAAAAUAUGGAGAAACAGUUGGAAUGGUGCAAUGAGGCACCUUUUUACACACUGGGUCCUCUGACAACUGAUAUUGCCCCUGGCUAUGAUCAUAUCACCUCUGCCAUAGGUGCUGCUAACAUUGGAGCCCUUGGUACUGCUCUCCUUUGUUAUGUGACACCUAAGGAACACCUUGGAUUGCCCAAUCGUGAUGAUGUGAAGGCAGGUGUCAUAUCUUAUAAGAUAGCUGCCCAUGCAGCUGAUUUAGCAAAGGGCCAUCCUCAUGCACAAGCCUGGGACGAUGCCUUGAGCAAGGCCAGAUUUGAAUUUCGAUGGAUGGAUCAGUUUGCUCUAUCACUGGAUCCUAUGACAGCGAUGUCUUUCCAUGAUGAGACCUUACCAUCUGAUGGUGCUAAAGUUGCACAUUUCUGUUCUAUGUGUGGACCCAAGUUCUGUUCGAUGAAAAUAACAGAAGAUGUGAGGAAGUACGCGGAGGAGCAUGGAUAUGGAACAGCAGAGGAAGCUGUGCAGCACGGAAUGGAUGCUAUGAGUGCUGAGUUUUUGGCAGCCAAGAAAACGGUCAGUGGGGAGCAACAUGGAGAAGUUGGAGGAGAAAUAUAUGUACCUGAAAACUACAUUGUGCGCCCUUGAAGGAACAAUCUAUUUCUCCAAUCUUUUGGCAGAGAAGCCGAUUUGAGCUAGAAGCUUGAGUGUAGUCUGGGUCCAUCAGUUGUCCAAUGCUCCUUAUUGUCAGUAGGUAAGGGGUGCCAGUGUCUGUUAGUCUUGGCCACUUGGCCAGGAAAUGGCAGAUAUGGCUGAGAAAGUCCCUUUGAACCUGAACAGGUUAAUGCCUGCGUAGGGAGCGUGCAAUAGCACCUUUUUUUUUUCUUUCUUGUUCAGGGAUUCAUCAAAAAGUUCGGACUAGCUGAUUCUGAGCUGCUCUGCCAUGGUGUUGCUGUUGUUUGAGAAGCUGUGACGGUUGGCAGGUCACCAGUCACCUGAAUGCUUUCAUCUGAUCUGCUUUAUUUAUUGGGUAAAUUUCACAAAACUACCAUGAACUUCGGAUGGUUUUGUACAAAACUACCACAAGCUUUCUUAUCGAGAAAAAUACAUGAACUUUCAAAAGUGGAGAAAAUAGCAUGAAGUAUUGAAACUUGUAGCUAAUGCUUUUAAUGGCUUGGAUGAAGAUCUAACUACCCUUGAAUAUAGGAGCGGGGGACAGGGUAAUAUACAAGAUAAUAUAUCAGACAAGGUUAACAUCGUCUUAAAUAUGUCAUGUGCAAAUCACAUGACAAACUUACCCUAAUUGACGUAAGCAUGAUUGCGUAUUAAAAAAAAAGUGAAUGAUGAUUUACUUUAAUAAAAAAAUUAUAGUAGUUAAACCAUCCAAGUUCAAUGGUAGUUUCGUGUAAUUUCCUCAAAUGUUUAUUUUUUCUGCAUUUAUUUGUUUCCGUGCAUGCAGGUUUGUGUACAGGUGUGAGAAUGCUUGCGUGUUUGCAUGCGUGCUCAUUUUUAUAUGUUCACUUGUGCAUGAGUGUUUUCCGUGGGCUUAGGUGUGGAGAUUGGAGAGAUAACCUUAGGUUCGAGGCAAAAUACACAAAGCAAAUGAUUUAAACCUUCUAAGAAGUAGGAUAGUGAGUUAUAAGUAGCCUCUAUUUCGAAUGGGCUAACAAUGUCCAGUUUGUCAUUAUUAAUCCACCUUGCAACUUCUUUCUUCAAUGGCUUGCGAGGUUUAUAUCUAUAGCUAAACGUUGGGACGUUCUUUCCAGCUGAGUAUCAAUCUCUGUGUACAAAAUACCUUUCGGUAUGUGGUAUUCUCAAUAUUGGUUUCUGCCAUCUCUAAUUUUUCAGGUGCAUUUUGUUAGGAAGGGAUAAAAAGCUACCUUCCUGUUCUCACCGGCAGCAAUCUAUCGCAACUGAAAUGUCACCAGUAGUGUAAUUCCACAGUAAUAAGCCGCCUUGGUAAAUCUUACUGGUUAAGCUAGUUUAUGCAUCACCGUGGCUUAAGCAUAGGAAUGUAGGUUGCCAUUUGCCAAUACUUUGAAGGCAAAAUAUGGAUGUAGUUGGUUAACCAUGUCAUGCAUUUUCACUGUAGUUAACAACCUUGGUGAAAAUUUACACGUGAUACUUUAAAUGAGCAAUGUUCGAAGACCUCCAUGUCCCACGCUCAAAGAAGAAACUCACCCACCUUUUCACAACAGCCAGGUUAAAUAUGAUGGUGUUUUUUUUUUGCAAAUUAAUGGAAUCAGCGCGAUGAGUAUUGAGCUUCUUUUGUUGAUGUGAGAAGUUGGGGGUCUUGAAGCGUUUGUCCUGUUUUUCCUUAUGCUUUCUGCUUGCAAGUUCCGAUUCCCCUAACAUAAAUACAGUAGAUAUUUGCUUAUUUAUUGUGACAUAAACUCAAACUAUUGAAUUUCGAUUAUCAAUGGAAAUGAGAACCGGGAAGGGAGACUGUAGUGAGUUUGAGCAACCAAAAAGGAAUCCUCGUAUGAUAUUUUGGAAGCAGGAGGAAGGAUGGUAGACUGCUGAUUUGAAUGGCAUUCUAACCCCUAGUAAAACAAAUAAAUCCAACUGAGUCCAACCGAACACAUUAUCAUAAUCCUAUCACUCCUAAUUAGGAGGGCCGUUCGACCUUGUGUUUGUGCCUAAUUCUUGCAGCAAGCGCAGUCUAGAGUCUUGACUAUUAAACGAAAUAUUUUCGAUUGAUGAAGAAAGGUCUGUAAGCCAGAGAGGCGCAAUGCUCUCAUUAGACUCGUUUAACAUCCUCUGUACUUACAGGGGUUUUGAUAGUUAAUUUCCUAAAAAUAUUGGUAAAUUUAUAUGGUAGUCUUAUAUUAUAUCAAAGGUUUCGCAACAUGAAAAUUCUUCCCGAGCAUGGUUCUCAACCGCUACCCACAAACAAGCAACGUGUUUUGCCUUGGAAGAAAAGAACCGGAAUAAAGGGCACUCUUAACAUCACAGAUCAAGAAAGUUGGCUGCUUGGAUUUAUGUAUUUAUGUUGUACUGGUUUGUGUAAUGAAUUACUGGAUCUUGAUGUUUGUUUACAACGUAAUGUAACCAAAUAAGAAAUUUGUUUUCUUGUUCAA
RNA transcript from Asparagus officinalis (garden asparagus), 4493 nucleotides. It is a transcript of the gene named phosphomethylpyrimidine synthase, chloroplastic, with no coding region annotated. The record is from RefSeq and is a predicted model, not a curated record. The transcript has 7 exons. NCBI's taxonomy places the organism in Eukaryota, Viridiplantae, Streptophyta, Magnoliopsida, Asparagales, Asparagaceae.